GUCGAUCGUUUUCGUCCCGCGUCCUCAUGGGGCGUGGGGUGAACCAGUUGGUGCCUUGCGUGUUCCUCUYUGAGCCAUUGGCUUCUGCCUUGGCCCAUGCUCGGUGGCUGGUACUCUCGGAUGCUGAAAAUUGUGUGGGCAAGAGGGUUCAAACCCCCUCGACCAAGCCCGGGCCUAGCGCUCGUCGCUCAAACCGGAAGACGCUGCUCCUCGCCUCGGCCUCUCACUGAACCAUCGGUUCCUGU
This 245-nucleotide unclassified non-coding RNA is filed under the name Euonymus acanthocarpus. RNAcentral describes it as "partial contains external transcribed spacer and 18S ribosomal RNA". Lineage: Eukaryota; Viridiplantae; Streptophyta; Magnoliopsida; Celastrales; Celastraceae. The record is from RNAcentral.